Molecule: long non-coding RNA, 775 nt
Organism: Labeo rohita (rohu)
Lineage: Eukaryota; Metazoa; Chordata; Actinopteri; Cypriniformes; Cyprinidae
Exons: 4
Source: RefSeq, a predicted model, not a curated record
CAUGAAAAACGAUGGCGCUCCCUCGCAGCUGUCCUUACCGGAACCUCGAGCCCAUCUGUCUCCAUGGAAGUUAUUUCCCAUAAUGCCUCCGUCCCUCAGAGCGGGAGCCGCUGACAGAGACGGAAAGCGGUCAUUCUGAGCGGCCGGCUGUGGGAAGGACAUUUUUCUCUCUCCAUUUCCAACAAAUGUCAUCAUCGGUCCAUCAAAGACUGGAGCUGAAGAUUGAUUGGCGGCUUCGUCCACCAAUAGGAGACACUGCAGCGGCUUUUGUCCACUUCCAUUGUGUGGAAAUUAGUGGUUCAAGAGGACAAAAGCUCAUUUUAUGUUCAACAGAAGACAGAAGGAACUUAAGGGCCCCGGGAGGUUCACCAACAGAGUAAGAACACUGUGAUCGGAGCGCGGGAACAUUCAUAACACUGGAUGAUGCAUUUCCACUGUGAGGUCAAAGGUCACUGGACUUCAGUUUGUGACUCACGGUCAGAAUGGUUUGCCAGCUCUGAGAUGCAUGUAAAUGCACCAGUGCAGCUGCAGAAACACUUCGGUGCAUUAACACUCCAGUCACACGCAGCCCUCAUUACACGAAACGACAAGCGUGAGAUGUCACUGCAAUCUGCUGCAUGAUUCAUGUGCAUCUUACAUGCAUUCAUGAACAAAUCUAAAACUCAGCGAACUGCUCUGGAAACAUGAGGAGAGGCUGAAUUACGUCUGAUCUGAGGAAACAUCAGGCCUGUAAAAGCCCAGAGACCAGCGGAGGCGUGAGAGCAGAACAUAAAUA